UAGGGAAUUUUCCCCAAUGGACGAAAGUCUGACGGAGCAACGCCGCCUGAGUGAUGAAGGUUUUCGGAUCGUAAAACUCUGGUGUUAGGGAAGAACAAGUACUGUUCGAAUACGGGCGGUAC
Molecule: ribosomal RNA, 122 nt
Filed under: uncultured bacterium
Lineage: Bacteria
Description: partial 16S ribosomal RNA
Rfam family: Bacterial small subunit ribosomal RNA
Source: RNAcentral